Cornus florida is the source of this 2535-nucleotide long non-coding RNA. RefSeq lists it as uncharacterized. The record is from RefSeq and is a predicted model, not a curated record. Lineage: Eukaryota; Viridiplantae; Streptophyta; Magnoliopsida; Cornales; Cornaceae. The transcript is spliced from 3 exons.
CAAAUAUCCAAACAAGACCUAAGAUUGUACCAUAUUAUUGACUGGUAAAUCGAAUUGCUGUAUGUUAUUACAACUUGUCAAACACACAUCUUCUGUGUAGUUAUUCAAAUUUUUUUUUUUUUUUUCCCAUUUUAUAUUCUGUCUUGAAACACAAAUGCUAACUAAGCAGCUUGUUAAAGAAGCUGCUUGGUGCCCAUGUUUUGGAGGCUAUAAAUUGAUACCAUGUGUACACAAUUGAGGUGUGAAAAAUGAAUAACAUUAUCAGCUCUUUCUCUCUCUCUCUCAGCACUCUCUCUCUCUCUAAUCUCUACAUCUCUCUCAUCUUUCAUAUUUGUCAUAUACUUCAAUACAUAUAUUUAUUACAUGGAUAUCAUUGUAAAACUCCCACCAUCCAAUAGUAAAUGCUAUCAUGGCCAUCACGCUCAAGAACCAAUUGGUUAGGGUAAUUGAUCUCUAAAGCACUCUCUGCUAUUUUGAUCACUCCCAGUAUCAAGUGCCUAUCAAGUGCCCUGCAUUUUUAUCUGCCCCCUAGUGGUAUCUCCUUCAAGCUACCAACCUCUCUACAGGGUUUGUGAGGUGAAAGCCUGAAAAUCCUCAUAGGCCUCUAUUGUUUAUCAAUUAACGGGGGUAGUCAGCGGUUUGUUCUUCAAGGGAUAUACCAAACUCAACAAUGCCGAGAAAGUUGAAUGGAACAACCGGGGUUUUUCUACAUUCCAAGCAUUCGUUGUGGCAGCUGCUUCUCUCUAUCUGUUACCAUUCUCGGGUCUCUUUGAUGAGGGUUCUCAUGAUGAGUUGAUAACUAAUAGGAAGUCUACUUUAUCAGACACAAUAUUGGGGGUAUGUUGUUGCAGAAGGUGGUAUACUGGUUUUAAUAUGAGAGAAGAAAUUGCAAUUAAUGCUUGUGAGAUUCGUACUUGCAUGAGAUGAAAUUUGGACACAAUUUAAUAUGAAACAAGACAGGGACGUGGUAAAAUUUAAACGACUACUGCAAUUUGAAGAUUUAGGGUUAGUCCCUAUUAAAUUAGAUGUGAACAUAUGAGGCACCUUUCAAACAAGUGGAAGUCUUCAAAAGAUGAGCACGUCAAUGAGUGCAUGGGGGAUAACCUAGCACUCUUUGUUGGAAAGUAAAGUUUGAAAAUUGAGAUGGUUUAAGCAUGUGGUAAAGAGUACAACGAAGUUUCGUGGGUCAUAAUGAAGCCAGACAUCUCCAAGUGGUUGUAAACUAGUUUUUGAAAGAAGAAAAUUGAGACAUAUUGUUAGUAGUAUAUGGCUUGCGGACUUUGAAAAACUAAAGAGUUUUGGGCAUGAUCCUUUUGGUAUGGUUAAGUAAUAUGUAAGGUUUUUAAAAAUUUGUUAAAGAGUUCAUAAAUGAAUUGAGAGUUUGUUAGGAUAUCACACUCAAAAAGGAUGCAAUUAGCUUAGGAGGUGGACGUCUACAUUUCAAAGUAGUUAAUUUCCUUGGUCAGAGGUAAUAUAUCCUAAUAUAUCAUCCGGUGUUGCACGUGUGAAUUCCUUAGCCAACUCUCUAGCGUUAAGUUCCUAAAUCUCCUUAUGUACAGCAUUUCUCUCCAGUUCUGCUGAUGAUUACCAUUUUCUACAUUAUUGGUAAUAGAACAAAGAAACAGAUAGCAAUAGCUUGAUAGGAGGGUGCACUUGAAUAGUAAGGUACUUUUUUACUAAUCUGAGCUAAGUUCAUGAUUUAAUCCCAUCAAAAUAGGGAGGCCACUUUUAUCAACAAUAGUAGCUACACAAGUAGUAGGAUAGGAGCUGGAUUACCCAUGGAGUGGCAAUUUCUUUGAUAUGCACCCACAUUUCCUUCCCUUGAUGUUAAACCUAAGGAAAUAUAUGGUCUUUCUCAUUGUAAAUGGAUAAUCAAACUCUCUGUUUGCUACAUGUUGAUACACCGUAAUGUGACCUUAUAAAGAUACAUGUUAAACCAUUCCAUCCAACUUACCAUUAAAAUAAUGAAUAUAGACAUGAAUAUAUUACUGUAUAUGCCUUUGGAUGUUCACUAUGUGCUUAUGUGUUGCAACGGAGGAGCUCAGUCGCAGGAAGAUUUAGGUAGUAGCAGGAUAGACGGUUUGGAACUAAAAGGUUUUAAGAGACAUUUGUGGAGAAAAGUAAGGCAUGGGCCGACUCUAUAAUGUUUUUACUAUGGAGAAAUUUGUGAAUUAUACAAAUUCUAGUGUGUGGAGGGAAAAAUCUCUCUCCAAUGAGAACUGUACACGUCAUCGCAAUAUAAAUACCCAUCACAAAUGUCAGAGGCCCAUCCUGCUCAAAGCCCAGUCCAAGCUCGUUGAUAGCCCAAAAUCAUAAGACACAAGCCCAAGGUCACAGCUAAUUGAUCUCUGUAGCAUUGCUCAAGCCCGAAACAAGAGAUCUAGCCCGUUAGCAAUGUCACAUGGAUCAGGUUACUUACAACCCAAAUCCAUUGAAAGGAAAUUAGUCAUAUUAGAAGAAGGAUACAACAAAGAAAGAAACUACUGCACAAGGAAAAUUAUACAAAGAAAGGAGCUCUAUUUGUAAAUAAUUUCU